This 267-nucleotide ribosomal RNA is filed under the name uncultured Glomeromycotina. RNAcentral describes it as "partial 18S ribosomal RNA". It matches the Rfam family "Eukaryotic small subunit ribosomal RNA", at positions 619 to 888 of the family's 1831-position model. Lineage: Eukaryota; Fungi; Glomeromycota. The record is from RNAcentral.
UUAAAAAGCUCGUAGUUGAAUUUCGGGAUUUAUCCGUCGGUCGGGCUUUUGGGUCUGUACUGGCGUGAUGGAUUUCUACCCUCUGAAUAACCGGCAUGUCAUUAAUUUGGUGCGCCGGGGAAGCAGGACUGUUACCUUGAAAAAAUUAGAGUGCUUAAAGCAGGCUAUUGCCUGAAUACAUUAGCAUGGAAUAAUGAAAUAGGACGGCAUGGUUCUAUUUUGUUGGUUUCUAGGAUCACCGUAAUGAUUAAUAGGGAUAGUUGGGGG